RNAcentral lists this long non-coding RNA (209 nucleotides) under Elaeis guineensis (African oil palm). RNAcentral's name for it is "long non-coding RNA (EGUI_LNC039189)". Lineage: Eukaryota; Viridiplantae; Streptophyta; Magnoliopsida; Arecales; Arecaceae. The record is from RNAcentral.
CCAUAUCUACAAUAAAUACAUAAUAAAAUUAAAUUAAUUAAUAUAUAUAUAUAUAUGAUUAAUUUAAUAUAAAAUUAAUUUAAGGAUAAAAUUUUUAUCAAUUAGUUGGCCACAACAUGUGUGCCAACGGAGCCAUUAGUAUGCUUGAUCGGAUGCUGCUGGAUGAAUCGAUUCUAUCUUGCCCUCUGUCGUCCACCAGAAUACUCCUC